Molecule: long non-coding RNA, 1811 nt
Filed under: Medicago truncatula (barrel medic)
Lineage: Eukaryota; Viridiplantae; Streptophyta; Magnoliopsida; Fabales; Fabaceae
Description: lncRNA gene32484
Source: RNAcentral
GAUUUGGUUGGGAUUAACCAAAUAUUUUGCACGUCUGUAGACUCAAGUCACUUUCGAACUUGGGUUUUGUUAGGUAUUUGACUAAGAGAUUCACCAGCAUAAACACAAACAAUAUAACAUUAUAGUUCUCAACGAUGUUUAUUAUAGAAACUUGUUUAACAAGUUUUAGUAUUACAAAUUUUAUUUAUUAAAUUUAUUUAUAACAAUAGAUCAUCUCAAAUUUAACUCAUUGAUUUCUUAAUUGAAGCUGCCAAUCCAUCAUAAGCAACUUCCCAAGCAGUACUUAGUUCUUCGCUCCAGUUGCCCCCUGCUGCUUCCUUUAUCGUUUUCAACAAAGCUUCUUUUACCACCUACAAAGCACCAAAAACAUGGGUUAGUGAUUUAACUCUCAUAAAAUAGGUAUGUUAACAAGAGUGAAAAAUAUUUAUCGUAAAGUAAUUGAUUUUCAAAAUAAAACCAAGAAUAUGUUCUUAUUUUUUUUUAUCCUUGCAUCCAUAUUAUUUAACUAGACAAUAUUCAUAAAAAAAAUUAACAGGGCACAGUCAAAUAAAAGCAAUUUAGACUGCAUCCACAAAAAUAUUAUAUUAUGUUAUCAUACCACAAAAUGAGGAUCAACCACUCCUUUCUGGAUGUGGAUAGCACCCAAUGUAGCAUCUCCCAAAAUCACUUCUCCAGUUGCUCGGAGUUGAACAGCUGAGUCGCGCACCUUUAAUUCAAAAAGUAUAAAUAUCUUGAGAUUGAUAACCAUGUUAAGAAAAACUGAUACAAAAUAUUCUACUAGUAUUUGAUACUAUUCUUUGGCAUAAAUCCCCUCAGCCCUCUGGAAAUUUACUUUGAGGUAACAUAUUUUUUUUUAUGUGACACCAAAGAUUCAUAGGUAGCAUGAAUUUUAUUUAAUUUAUUUAAUAAAAAAAAUCAAAAAUCAAGCAUUUGAUAGGGAAUGGAAUCCCUGAUUAGAGUUUCAAACUUGUGAGUUGUGAAUUUUGAGUUUUUUAUAUUGUAUUCAAGAUACAUGAGUUUUCUAAUUUGAACUAUUUUUUUGAGAGAAUCUAAUUUGAACUAUUGGAAUAUGGGGAACCAACAUUUUAAAAUUGUGAUAGUUAGGACACUAAAGGUGAAAUGAAUCAUAUAUAUAUAUAUAUAUAUAUAUAUAUAUAUAUAUAACAUGUAUGAAAGAUAUAUAAUUACAAUAAUACACCAAAGUAACGUUACUUAAAUUAUAUACAAUGUCAUAUUCCUUAAAAACAAAUCUUAAAAACAAUUGUACUAGUAAAAUCUCUUUAUAUUAUUAUUUGGAUAUUAUUAAUAAAAAAUAAAUUAAACAAUAAAAUAUUUUAUUUUAAAAUAUUUUAUAAUUAUCAAUUUAAAUAGAGUCAUCGACAAUAAAUGAAAAAUGAUUAAAAGAAAUAAAAGAAAAUUAAUUGAUAUUGGAUCAUACUUACCAUUUCAAAAACUUUUGCAGCAUGAGCUUGAAGUUGAGGACUAUCUUGUACUCCAGUUGUAUCUUUAAGAAAAGAGAACAUGCCUUUUGCUGCAGGUGCUUUCUCUAAUAUACUAUUUUUAUCAAAACAACCAAGCAUAUUCUUGCUAAUUAAUUUACUUUAUCUCUUUUAUACUGACAAUCAACAAAAAUGGAAAACAUAAUCAAACAUUCAUGAGAAAUAAAACUUACAUAGUAUAGAACAAAACACUAUAGCCAGAGAGAUUUUGUUUGAAUGAUUCCCAUGAACUAUUCACUAAAGACUCUUGCUUCUCGGUGAAACCCAUAUUUCCCUUCUUCUUUUUUAAUUUUAAUUUUUUUUGUAUUUUUU